RNAcentral lists this ribosomal RNA (486 nucleotides) under uncultured bacterium. Its description in RNAcentral is "bacterial SSU rRNA". It matches the Rfam family "Bacterial small subunit ribosomal RNA", at positions 28 to 512 of the family's 1533-position model. The record is from RNAcentral.
GAUGAACGCUAGCGGCAGGCUUAACACAUGCAAGUCGAGGGGUAUGCCGAUUUAUCGGCAGAGACCGGCGCACGGGUGCGUAACGCGUAUGCAAUCUACCUUUCACAGAGGGAUAGCCCAGAGAAAUUUGGAUUAAUACCUCAUAGUAUAGCAGUUUCGCAUGAAACCACUAUCAAAGUUCCAACGGUGAAAGAUGAGCAUGCGUCCCAUUAGCUAGAUGGUAAGGUAACGGCUUACCAUGGCUACGAUGGGUAGGGGUCCUGAGAGGGAGAUCCCCCACACUGGUACUGAGACACGGACCAGACUCCUACGGGAGGCAGCAGUGAGGAAUAUUGGUCAAUGGGCGCAAGCCUGAACCAGCCAUCGCCGCGUGCAGGAAGACGGUCCUAUGGAUUGUAAACUGCUUUUAUACAGGAAGAAACCCUCCCAACGUGUGGGGANCUUGACGGUACUGUAGGAAUAAGGAUCGGCUAACUCCGUGCCAGC